AUGCAAGAGGAGUAUGAUGCCCUUCAGGCCAAUCACACAUGGACUCUUGUGCCUCGACCUCGGGGUGCCAAUAUCGUCACCGGUAAAUGGGUAUUUCGGCAUAAACUCAAACCCGAUGGUUCCUUGGAUCGUUACAAAGCUCGUUGGGUUGUUCGUGGAUUCACUCAACGUGCCGGCAUUGACUUUGGUGAGACUUUCAGUCCCGUGGUCAAACCAGCCACAGUCCGCACAGUCUUGCAUCUUGCUGCUUCUCGACAUUGGCCCGUGCAUCAGUUGGACGUAUCCAAUGCGUUCCUUCAUGGAGUCCUUCAAGAGCGUGUUUACUAUGCUCAACCGUCGGGUUUCAUCGACGCAACAUAUCCCGAGCAUGUAUGUCUGUUGUCCAAGUCUCUCUAUGGGCUUAAACAGGCUCCACGCGCUUGGUACACACGCAUU
This 435-nucleotide ribosomal RNA is filed under the name Triticum aestivum (bread wheat). Its description in RNAcentral is "partial small subunit ribosomal RNA". Lineage: Eukaryota; Viridiplantae; Streptophyta; Magnoliopsida; Poales; Poaceae. The record is from RNAcentral.